UGAGAAGAGUCAUUCCUCCACAGUCGUAUCUCUGCAGUGCACGUCACCGCUUCAGCUCAUUCAAGAUCGCUAGGUAUAGAUUGUUUUUUUUUUUGUUUUUAUUUUUUUUACCACCGUCAGGAUUUCCCUCCAAGUUUCUCUGACAACUUGGAUGUAGCCAAGGGAGACCCCGACGCGUUGAUCGCAUGUGUGUGAGGGUGUGAACACUAACGUGCACGUCGUGGAGACCAUGUCGCUGCAGGAGGUGAACCAGAGUGCGGCGGAGUGGACAGCCAGUGAGAAGCCGUGGAAUAUGAGCGUGAAAGUGACCAGCAUGAAUAUGAGCCGCACAAACGAAUCAGUCCUCGCCAACAGACCCAAAGAGAUGGACUCGGUGCGCAUUCUGCUCUACACACUCAUCUUCCUCAUCAGUGUGUUUGGCAACCUCCUUAUCAUCACUGUCCUGAUUCUCAACAAGCGCAUGAGAACAGUCACCAACUCGUUCCUGCUGUCGCUUGCGCUCAGUGACCUGAUGAUGGCUAUCUUCUGUAUGCCCUUCACGCUUAUCCCCAAUAUACUUGAGGAUUUCAUCUUUGGGGCCGCCAUGUGCAAGACAGUCACCUACUUUAUGGGACUCUCUGUCAGUAUCUCAACCUUCAGCUUGGUGGCAAUUGCCAUCGAGCGAUACAGUGCAAUUUGCAACCCACUGAAGUCCAGAGCAUGGCAGACCCAAUCCCAUGCAUACCGUGUUAUUGCUGCCACCUGGGUGCUCUCGCUCCUUAUUAUGAUUCCUUAUCCAGUGUUCAGCAUCAUCAAGACGUUCCCCAAGACCAAUGACACUGUGGGCCACAUGUGUCGUCUCCACUGGCCCAGUCAACAAGCUGAGCAAACCUGGUAUGUGCUACUGCUCUUUAUUUUGUUCUUCAUUCCUGGAGUGGUGAUGGCUGUAGCCUACGGUCUCAUCUCCAGAGAACUCUUCCGCGGCAUGCAGUUUGAAAUGAAGCAGAAUAACACAGAGACUACUGAGCUGAAAAAUGGGGCUGUAGCAGUGCAGCCAAAUGAUGGUGAUGAUGGUUGUUACAUUCAGGUUUCCAAAAAGCCCUCUUCAACCGUGGAGCUUCCCACCCUCUCGUCAAGUGCUGCUCAACCCAAGACUGAGCGUGCUCGCAGCAACACCUCUGAGGCCAAAUUACAAGGAAAGAAGCGUGUCAUUCGGAUGUUGAUGGUAAUUGUGGCUCUUUUCUUCAUCUGCUGGAUGCCUCUGUACUUCGCAAACACCUGGAAGGCUUUUGACCUAAGGUCAGCCUCCAAAGCCCUCUCAGGGGCACCAAUUUCUUUCAUACAUCUGCUGUCCUACACUUCCGCCUGUGUCAAUCCUGUCAUAUACUGCUUUAUGAACACCCGCUUCCGCAAGGCCCUGCUAUCCACUUUUGCCUGCUGCUGUCGCCACCACCUCUGCCGCAAGUGCUGGUGGUUUAAAAAACAAGAAGCAGGAAGAGACGAUGGCACCACCGCCACUACCAUGGGGGCGACAAUGGCUACCUCUGUCUCAAAGUACAGCUACACUACUGUCAGCACCACAGCCUGAUGACCCUUCAUAAGAGUGCCAUGUUAGUACUGGGCAGUCAUUUACAGUCCUUUACCUUUCAUUCAUCAUAUUCACAUAUAUAUAUGUUUUGAAUAAUGUGCUGACUAAUGCAGCUGCCCUUUGCCCUUUGCCCCUUAUGUUCUGAGUGCAUGUUGCAGAAUGUGAGCCAGUACAGCACUUCUGUUGAAUUGUCAAGUACCAGAGCUCUUUUAUUUGAUUUUAUUUACAAUAUAAUGUUAUGUUAUAAAUUAUUAAUAAAGACCAUAUAGUAAUUGCACCAAAACAUGAUCCUGGCUACACUAAAUCCGAUUAACUUUAGUAGGGUUACCCAGGCUUUUUCUCAAGUUUGUCUUAUUUUGUUUUUGGUUGGCAUUGUGUAUUUAUUAUUUAUUAUUUACCAUUAUUUAUUACUGGUGUUGUAUCUUAAAACAGUCAAUCUCGGUUAGUGUCAUUCCAGAAGGUCCCGACUCGAGCUGAAACAUACUCCAACUAAAUACCUUUUUCCUAUUAAUGUAAAUAAACAAAACCAAAAACAUGUUACAGUUGAACAUAUAUUACAUAUAAGUGAGAAAUGAAAGGGAUAAAUUAACAUUUAAGGUUACUUGUACUUUCCUUGCAGAUGUGAUUGCCAAAGACAGCAAUGUGGCAGUAAGAUCAAAAUAAUUUUACACAGUGGUGUUUCUCAACUCAGGUCUCUGCUUUUGUUUUGAGCACGGUUGCAAAAUAAGCCAUAAUGGACACAGAAAUUUGAUACCACACGAUUCACACAAAGGUGAAGUCCAUGUUGAUCUCGUUGCCACGGCGGUCUUGUCAAGAAUCAUGUCUUCAAUUAAGGUAAAAAUAACCCUAAAUGUUCCUUUAACUCUUUCAUUUGUUAUUCAUAUGCAUGUCACAUUGUUUAUUGCAUGUAAAACUUAAAAAAUGUGUUUUCUGUUAACAUUCUUGAGACUUGUGGUGUACUGUUAGUUAGCAAAUAGGGUCAACUGCUGAUGAUAUAGCAUAAUAGACUCGUGACAGAGCUGACUUCUGGUUCCUGUUUCCUCGUAUUAGCAAGCUGACUGGCUGCUAACAAAUUAAUAACAUUAAAAACACAUUUGGCCUUGUCACUACUCAAUCUGUACCGGAAAUACAAUCUGUUCUACAUACAGUACAUAAAGCAUCUUAUCAAGUAUUUUACGGCAGUCAUGCAUCAGGCAAUCUGAUUUGUACUACAAAUGUGCAAAUGCGCCAUUAGUCGAUCGAUUUGAGGCAGUUAGGGAUGAUGCACGUAUUAAGCAACCCAUUUUCACUCUGUAUGUGCAAAGUGGAUCAUUUAUACCACUCCUCGAAAACUGUUAUUUCGAUUCUACAAAUGACCACAUAAUCAUAUCCAUUGUGCAAAGUGGAGAGAUUAUAAUCCUGAUAAUAAUCCUUAAAAUAAUUCAAAUUCUUUUCUGGUUGUAUAAAUUAUUUUAUAGGUUUUUUUCAGCACUGAAAAAAAAUGACAAAAACAUUUGCUAACAAGAUAUACUGGUAUAUGCAUGGAUGUUUUUUUUUCCAUUUAGAAGAAAACUCUCUGGCUGCUGGUUACACGUUAUCCAUCUUUGCACUUAGCUUAGAGUUGCCAUGUUGUAUGCUAACUGGAAAAUUUAGUUUUUAGUUUUAAUAAGCUUCAUUGCAGACAGCGACAACGUGUUCACAACAUGCCGAAAAGAAAACAGAAACUGACGUAACACAGGAAGUGCAGAGGUAGAACAAGCAAAGGUAGAACAGCAGCGCCCUCUAUUGAUGAAAGUACUCUGUAUACCAACCCUCCCACUUACUUUUACAAUAGGAUUUACAAGUCCCCUUAAGUAAUAUGUCAGAGCCAUGCUCUCCUUUACAAUAAGGUCAUGUAAAAAAAUAUGUGAACAACAAAAAUCACCUUUUUUCAAACUUCUCUCGUUUUACAUUUUUCCCCCAAAUAAUUGCUUUGACCAGGCCGUGUUCUUCAUAAAACUUUCAAGCAUUUUUAAAUAUUGAAAAGCCCGAUCUCUCCCCUGAGAUAUUCAAAUCUCUGUCUCGCCAGUGGCUUAGUAAGGAUAUCUGCUUUCAUGUCAGUUGUUGGACAAUACUGCAGCUUGAUCUGUCCAUUCUGCACAAUUCACGGAUGUACGUAAUGGUAGCGGAUGUCUAUUUGUUAGACUCCACAUAGACUCCACUCCGAGAUCACGCAGUAGUCGUCUUAGCUAGGUUCCUCCUUGAGCUGCUUGACUGAGUGCGAUGUACUCUGCUUCUGCAGUUGAAAGUGCGACGGUUGCCUGUUUCUUGCUGAGCCAUCUGAGUAUCCGAUUAAUACUCCAGAGUCAGAUUUCUCAUACUUGAGAACAAUGUUCACCGUCCCUUUCAACUACCGAAGUAUCCUUUUUACAGCAGUCAGGUGUGAAGCAUCUGGAUUUGCGUUGAACUUUGUACUCACAGCUUGAGCUAUGUCUAGUGGUGUGGCCAUUGCAGCAUACAGCGGACUUCCAACCAUUGACUGAUAGGUGUGUUGGUGCACUGGCACUUACUGACACCAUCACUCUUUCUUAGCUUGACGUUGGCAUCUGCAGGGGUUGCUACAGGAUUAUCCAUUCCAUAUUUUUGAAGUAUGCCUUCAAUGUAAUGCUUCUAGUGAAGAAAGAUACAUUCAUAUAUAUAUAUUCUUUUCUUUAUCUUGCAUCACGGAGAUGACAAGGAUGUUAGACAGCUCACCCAUGUCCUUUCAUCUUGUAGCGCUCCUUGAGAGCCGUUUUGAGCUCAUUCAUGCUUUCAGUUGACUCUGUAAUCGGAAUCAAGUCAUCCACAUAAACUGCAAGUAUCUCAAGCUUGUGUCUUGAUCUCACGAACACGCAGGGGUCUGUUUGAAUCCAAUCUCCAUCAUGAACUUUGUAAACGCCUUACUCCAACAGCGAGGAGACUGCUUCAGUCCAUAGAUUGGUCUUUUCAGUUUGCAUACCAGGUGCUCCUGCCCUGGUUUUAUGUAGCCCUCUGGUUGCUCCAUGUAUAUUUCCUCUUCCAGGUGUCCAUUAAGGAAUGCAGUAACAACAUCCAGCUGGUGCACAUGCAGAUCAUUUUGAGCAGCAAAUGACAGUAAUGUACGAAUAGAGCUGAAUCAUACCACUGGUAAAAAUGUUUCAUCAUAGUCAGUGCCAUACAACUUUGAGUAGCCCUUGGCAACAAGCUUGCACUUGUAUCGUUCCACUCUUCCAUCACUAUGAUGCUUGACUUUGAACACCCAUCUUGAUCCUAGUGCCUUUCUGUCUCUUGGUAGUCCACUAAGUCCUAUGUUUCAUUUUCAAUUAGAGACUCAUAUUCCAAGUCAGCCGCUACUUGCCACCUACUUUGCAUCAGGACUCUUCAUUGCCUCUUUCAGUGAGAGUGGUUCUGUCAACAUGUUGGCAUAAUGAUCAACAGUCACUACAUCAGCGCACUCAUCGUAUACAAAUCUUUUUGGAGCAUGUCUGAUUCUGCCACUUUUUCUGACAGUGCUCUCGACAGCGACCUCAUCAUCUCGCGUUUCACUCUCAUUUGGUGUCAGUUAUCUCGUUCUCUGUGCAGGGUACUUUCACUUCUUGCUUCCAGUUAAAGUUUGAUUCGUCAAAGAUGACAUCACAACGGAUUAGAAUCCUCUUUUUGUCUUCAUCAUACAGUCGAUAGCCUUUGGCAUUGUUUGCAUAUCCCAUGAAGCGAAGUUUCACAGCCUUUUUGUCCAGCUUUUUUCUGUCUUCAUCUGGUGCAUGUGCAUAAGCAAUACAGCCAAACACUUUCAUGUGACUCACAUCAGGUUUUUUGCCACACCAUCUCUGAUAUGGUGUUUCUCCCUUCAGAACAGUGGGUAGCCUGUUCUGUAUGUAGGCCGCUGUGGCUACAGCCUCUGCCCAAAACAUCUUUGGUAACUUUGCAUGAGACAGCAUGCUCCUCGCUGCUUCAACUAGUGUUCUAUUUUUCCUUUCAGCAACACCAUUUUGCUGUGGUGAGUGGGGUACAGUCAUUUCAUGGUGGGUGCCUUUAGUCUUUAGUCAAUAUUCUUGAAAUUCUUUUGAGGUGUACUCACCGCCAUUGUCUGUUCUCAGCCUUGAGAUGCUUCGCCACAGUCAUUUGUGAAAGUUUUCUCAAAUUCCUUGAAUUUGCAUAGCGCUUCAGUCUUUUGUCUCAUGAAGUAUGCUUUACAGUACCUUGAGUAGCCAUCUAUGAAGGUGACAAAAUAUUUUGACCGACUUAUAAAUUCCGUCUUUCAUCUUUCCCACACUUAUAGCAUCUCCACAUGCUUUGUCCUGCUGCUCCCACUGCUUUGGAGACAUCCUGCACAUUUCCACAUAAUUGUGACGACAUUGCUGAUGCACCACUUGACGUAGCACCACUGUUAUCAUUAGCAUUAACUCGCUUUUGUUCUUCAUUGAUCAGUGCUUGCUGAACAAUCUUCAGUGUCAGGUUGUCAAUCUUUGUUUCAAGUGCAGCGGCAAUAGUUGCAUAACUUGGUGGCAAACUUCCCAAUAGUGUCACAAUUUGGUCCUCCUCUUCAAUGACUCCUUAGCUCCUUCAUUCGUUUAAGAUGCUCAGUUAAACCAUCUCCUUCUUUCAUCUCACAUCUGAAGUAUUUCUUCAGAAAUAAUUUGUUUGCCAAAGUGUCUCUCUCAAAAUGGCCUUUCAACGUAGUCCAUGCUUUUGUAGGAGUCUGGCAGCUGGUUAUCAGAUACAACUGUGGUGUACUUACAUUCAGCACCAACAUAGAGAAUGCUUUUUCUCUUCCUUUUGUAAACUCAGCAUGUGCUGCUGUGUUAGCAUCUCCGGGUAGCACGUCUUGCUCCGUUAGCAUGCCCCACUGUCCUUUAGCCUUUAGCAAGUGCUCCAUCUGAAACUUCCAUGUUGCCCAAUUCUCUGGUCCGCAUAGCCUGUCCAUAAACCGCUUGUCUUUCAUUGUGAAUUUCCACAACACCGUAUUCCAUGGACUUCAGCUUUCUUGCGACGCUCUGGGCCCAUAACCUGUAGUUUUUAGUUUUAAUAAGCUUUAUUGCAGACAGCAACAAUGUGAACACAACAUGCCGAAAAGAAAACAGAAACUGAUGUAACACAGGAAGUGCAGAGGUCGAACAAGCAGCGGUAGGCCAGCUGCGCCUCUAUUAAUGAAAGUACUCUAUAUACCAACAGAAAAUGUACUCAAACUGUGUCAAAACUUUGGUGUACAUUUUUAAUAAUGGGAUCCCUUUUGGGAAGGUUCACUAGUUUUCCAUGCUUCACCAUUUGUGGAUAAUGGCUCUCACGGUGGUUCACUGGAGUCCCAAAGCUUCACAAGUGGCUUUUUUUCCCCUUAAUAAUCAAAAGUUCCAUUUAAGAACUGCAUUUUGUGUUCAUUUGUUUUGUCAUCGACUAAUAUUCACAUUUGUUUGAUGACCUAAAGCAUUUUAGUGUGGCGAGCGUACAAAAAGAAAAUCAGGAAGGAGGGCAAACACUUUUUCACACCGCUGACACAGAAAAGGCACAAUAUACCUGUGAAUAUCCUCAUUCAUCCAGGUCAAUGAAUUCUUAGGACACAGAAUCGAUCGCAACUGGACUGGUCAGGUUACCUUACAAGAUAUUUUGCCUCACAUCCGAGCAGGGUAAAGAGUUGUCACAUUUGGACUCACUGGCGUCUAGUCUGUGAACAUGAACUGGUGAGGCCUGCUUCAAUUAGAGGCAAAACAUCUUCUAAGACAAUCUGAACAACAAAGUUGCGACCAAUUCAAUGCCCUGAGAACAACGCCCCCAAAAAAACAUUAAAAACUCAUUUGCUCCAUGCACGUUAUUUGGUCAUAUACUGUAAAUUUAAAAAAGGGGUGGUUCAAAAAGCAGUUUGUCCAACAUAUGAACUGUUUGGAAAAGUAUUUUGCUCUUUAAGCAGGACAUUACAAUUUAGAUGUAUGUAAGUAUGUUUCCUGUACAACCUACACAAUUGGACAAAAUUGUUGGUACCCCUCAGUUAAAGAAAGAAAAUUCCACAAUUCUCACUGAAAUCACUUGACAUUUACCAAAGUAACAAUAAAUAAAAAAAAUAUUGAAAAUUAAACAAUCAAAAUCAGCCUUUGCUUUUGAAUGGUUGAUUAACAUUCAUCCAUUCAUUCAUUCAUUCAUUCAUUCAUUUUCUACCACUUAUCCUUACGAGGAUCGCGGGGGUGCUGGAGGCUAUCCCAGCUGUCUUCGGGCGAGAGGCGGGGUACACCCUGGACUGGUCGCCAGCCAAUCACAGGGCGGUUGAUUAACAUAAUUAUUUAAACAAAUAAACUAAUGAAACAAGUCUGGACAAAAAUGACGGUACCUCUUCAAAAGAUUGAAAACAAUUUGACCAGAGCCACAUGAUUAUCUCACGUGUGUCCUUUAAUUGACAUCAUAGGUGUCUUCAAACUCAUGAUCUGUCAUAAUCAGUCUGCCAAUUUAAAGGGUGACAAAUGGUCACUUUGCUGUUUGGUGACCACACUGAACAUGGACAACAGAAAGCAAGAAUUGUCCCAGGACAUUCAAAAGAAAAUUAUAGACGAACAUCUGAAAGGUAAAGGCUAUAAGACCAUCUCUAGGCAGCUUGAAGUUCGUGUGACAAGAAUGGGACAUAUUAUUCAGAAGUCUGAGGUCCACGGGACAGUAUCGAACCUCCCUGGACGUGGCCGCAAGAGGAAAAUUGAUGACAAGUUGAAGAGAUGGAUAGUUCAAAUUGUAUCCAAAGAGCCCAGAACAACCUCCACAGAUUGUAAAGGUGAACUUCAAGGCCAAGGUACAUCAGUGACAGAUCGCACCAUUGGUCGUUGUUUGAGUCAAAGUGGACUUCAUGGGAGACGACCAAGAAGGACACCACUGUUGAAAGCAUACAAUCAUAAAAAAGCGAGACUGGAAUUUGCGAAAAUGCAUGUUGACAAGCCGCAGAGCUUCUGGGAAAAUGUUCUAUGGACAGAUGAGUCAAAACUGGAGAUUCUUGGUGAGGCACAUGAACUGAAUGCUCAUAGACUGAAAAAUCAAGCCUAUGUACGAAGAAAAGAACACUGUCCCUACUGGGAAACAUGGAGGAGGCUCAGUUAUGUUUUGGGGCUACUUUGCUGCAUCUGGCACAGGGUGUCUUGAAGUUGUGCAAGGUACAAUAAAAUCUCAAGACUAUCAAGGCAUUCUGAAGAGAAAUGUGCUGCCUCGUGUCAGAAAGCUUGGUCUCAGUCGCAGGUCAUGGGUCUUUCAACAGGACAACGAUCCAAAACACAGCCAAAAGCACCCAAGAAUGGCUAAGAGAAAAGCGUUGGACUAUUUUGAAGUGGCCCUCUAUGAUACCAGAUCUGAAUCCCAUUGAACAUCUGUGGAAGGAGCUGAAACAUGCCAUCUGGUGAAGACACCCGUCUAACCUGAGACAACUGGAGCAGUUUGCUCCAGAGGAGUGGGCCAAAAUACCUGAUGACAGGUGCAGAAGGCUCAUUGACACUUACAGAAAUCGUUUCAUUGCAGUGAUCUUCUCAAAAGGUUGUGCAACAAAAUAUUAAGUUAUGGGUACCAUAAUUUUUGUCCAGGCCUGUUUCAUUAAUUUGUUUUUUAAAAUAAUUAUGUUAAUCAACAAUUCAAAAGUGAUGGCUGAUUUUGAUUGUUUAAUUCUCAAUUUUUUUUUAUUUAUUGUUACUUUUGUAAGUUUCAAGUGAAUUCAGUGAGAAUUGUGGGAUUACCUCACUUUUUGUGAUUACCGUUAAUUUCUGGAAUGAGUGCAGCUGAAUAUACGUAUAUCGUACCCACUAAAUUUAAAGAUAAUAAAAGAUUUGUGUCCAUAAGCCACCAUAAGUGUCUACUUUGUAACUUGGGAUAUUUAGUACACAGAAAUUGACUUACAAGAUCUUUUGUUUCACAUCCGAGCAGGGUAAAGAGCUGUCCAUUUGGACUCACUGGCGUUAUACAGAGAUCUUUUUUUUAAUGAAUACUUUUUUUUGAAACUGUACCAAACAUUGCAAGGGGCAAGUGAUACAUUUGGUUAAACAGCAGCCUACAUCAAGGAGGAAGAGUCUUGAACUUGUUCUGUCAUGUUUACCUCUAUUAUUUAUUUAUUUAUUUAUUAUCACACUGAUUGUUUGUAUACAGUAUGUACAUGUCUACCAAAGCUUCUAUGUAUUUUAAUUUGUAUUUGUCACAUCUGGUUCCUGCUUGUGUCAUGUGGUAAUACUGCACAAUUUGUGCUGUUGAAACUGUGUUUCAAUGUGUCAUGUUACUAUACUUGUUGUAGUAUAUGUAAGGUUAUAGUUGUCAUUAAUGCUUUAUGCUUUCUAGUUUUCCAUGGUUUAGGUUCAUAAAUUGUUCAAUUAAUAUAAUAAAUAUUGGGAAGACACUGGAUUGUCAGUGGAUUUGUCGCGGUGCGGUGUAGCUCUGGAUUGCUGACACAGAGGCAGGUGAGGUUGCUUGCACAAUUUAUUCAGUCCAAAGGGGUAUAACAAAAGCGAUGGUCACAAAAGGGUGCACCCUGGAGAACAAGCUAAAGAAUCUAAACCAGGGGUGCUCAUUAAGUCGAUCGCGAUCUACCGGUCGAUCGCGGAGGUGGUACUGGUCGAUCUCGGCGUGACAUUAAAAAAAAUAUCAUCCUAGCAUCAAUGUCGUCACUUGAUUGCCAUUCAGCCAUUCAGAUGACAACUGAAUGUUGCCCUUCGGAUGACCAAUCAAAUCAAACAACGUCUCUAAGUGCAGCAGAACUUACGAUGUCAGCCUAUCAUCCAUCCCCGUUACUUGAUUGACAUACAGGACAACCAGUCAGAUGACAACUGAAUUUUGACCUUUAGGUCACCGCUCAUGCGUAAACAACGAUGCAAAGUGCUAAGCUAGUCGGCGAAUUGCGUCAGAUUUUAAGCCCUCGCUAAAGUUUAUGGUCACUAAAAUGAGUGAAGUAGCUGGACCAAGUAAAAAGGCAAAAACAUAUCACUUCCAUACGGAAUGGGAGGUGGACUUUUUUUUCACAAUGUCUUUUUCGAAGUGCGUUUGCCUGGCUAACCUGGCUAUCAGCAGCUACUGUCCGGACUAUGCAUCCCCGGCUGAUUCAAUUCAGUGCAAGUCAUCAAAGUAAACUCAGGUAAUUACAAAAAAUGUUAAUAGUUAAUUAUGUGUGUUUUGCAGUAUUGGCUCAUUUGGUUAUGUAAGGUACAUCAACAUACAUUGUACGUACAAAUAAUCCUCAAUACAUUUGAAAAUAAAUAGAUGUUUUGCAUUUUUGUAGUGGGUAGAUCAUUUUGACUCGGUCAUUUUAAAAGUAGCUCGCAUGCUGAAAAAGUGUGAGCACCCCUCAUCUAAACCAUACAAUCAAUCAAUCAAACUUUAUUUGUAGAGCACUUUUCAUACAUAGACUGUAGCACAAAGUGCUUUACAUGUUAAAAAAGAAAGACAACAAGACACAUAUACACACACACUCGCACAUACACUGUAAAACCUAGUAGCACAUCUUUUUAAACCACUUAAGUUAAUUAGACUUGAUUCUUGAAAAAAAUUACACUCACUUAAAAUGAAUUGAAUAUACUUAAACAAUAACAAUUGUUUCAAUAACUCUUUCAUUUUUAGUUCAUUUAAAGUUACAGAAGGUUUCAAGUAGAUGUUAACAAACCUAUUUAGUUAGAUAAACUCAUCUUCUCUGAUUUUAUUUUAAUUUUUGAGCGAGUUCUAUGAAACCUGUUGGAACCUGUUUGCACCUGUUCACCCUCACAUCUUCAGCAGCACGGUACCCACACAAGGAGCACAGCUGAAUUAUUUCAGUUUUAUCAAGAAAUCAGAAGGUUAUCUGAAACGACUUCUUCACUUUUGCUGAGGCCAGCGGCGAAUGGACCUUGAUGUCUUGUCUAUGGUAAGAACAACUUUUAAAGUUUUUCCUCCCGCAUUCAGUGGGGGAAAGAUCACUGCUUAAGUUCGCUUUUAAGGGUAAGUUAGCCAAUUAACAUAUCUCAGAACAGAAAAGUAAUUGUCUGCACACUUUUGGUAUUUCUUAACUAUCAUCUCCAAACCGUGUCAGAUUGCCAAAUAAAAAUACAUUUAAAGGGUAAUUUUUCAUCUUCCAAUUUUGAUUUGUAACAAAGUGUUGGAAGAAUUGUACAUAAAGUUAUUCUAUUCUUACUAUAUUCUUAUGACCUAUUUUUACUAUAUUCUUAUGACCUAUUUUUACUAUAUUCUUAUGACCUAUUUUUCUUAUGACCUACAUACAUUUCAUAUCACUCACAUAACAAAGUAAGAUUAGUAACACAUAGCAAUGUAAGAUUAAUGCUGUGACGCCUGCACUUGUGGUGUACAUCAUGAUUAAGGGAAAACAGAACAUGACAGAACAUUCCUCAGCAGAUAGUUUUAUCACACCCUCAGGAGACAUAACUGCACAGGUCAGAAGUAGAUAUGACCUCAAAGAAUGUGUGUAUGUCCCCAGAGGAUCACAUGCCAAGGAUGAGAUACCCACACCUUAUGGAUAACAUGUUGUACGAAAGAACCGGUUUCAACUUGUUUAGUUAAACCCCCCUUCCCCUUAGUAGUUGAAAUCUCGUGUAACUAGGGCGUCCCUAAGUAAAUAAAAGGGCAGGAGAAAUGGGGACUGUUUCAGAGUUGGUAGGAGGAUUGUAACUGUGCAGUCUCCAUCACUCUCCUUGCAAGUAAAAAGAAACUCACCUCUCUGUGUCUUCCUUUGUACAGGCAGUGUUUUUUACAAGUGUUGGGGGUUAAACCUGACACAAAGCUAGAGGAAAGCUAUUUGACAAUGUGCUUACCUCUGGAAUGUUUUUUUUAAUUUGUUGUUGAAGAAAACUAUACUACUUUUGUUUUUUCCCUUUUUGUAUUGCAGAUUUUCUUAAAACAGUGCUAAUGGAAACAAAAGUUUGAAACUCAGGGUCAUUCUUGAUUAUGUAAAUGUAGAGAGGCUUAUUUUGCCGUCCCAUCCUGAGAGCGUAAAUGCCCUAAUAUAUGACGUUAAAAACAUGUUGAACUUGACUUAUGACUUGCGCCUUCAACUUUCUUCCAAAUUACCAUCAAGGACAGACUAAGGACACACUGGAGACACAGAGACUCGAGAUGGUGGAGCAGUUUAAGAAAAUGUCCAUGGAGAAAGAUAUGGUUCUCAUUCAUUGACAUAUGCAGCAGACCUUUGCGCUGAAGCGGGAAGAAAUAGUACAUUCAGACCCUCCCCUGGUUGAUGUUGUUGCAAGAUGGCCUGCACUCUUCUGUCAAGCCCAGGUGGGUAAAAAUAUAAGAGCACAUGUAAUGUAAAAAUAACUGUCUAUUUUGUCUACAUAAGUCUAUCAUAGGUUUAAAAUUGAGAUGCAGGACUUUUUCAUUGGGUAAUGGGUACUCUGUAAAAAAAAGCCCGUCUCUUUUUUAAUUCCAUUACUGUGAAUUCCAUCACAUCACCAAUCAGAAUCUUCCCUACUCCUCCUUUGCUGCUCUUGACAAGCACACAUCUCAGCUUCUAAAGCUCUACCAAAUGAAGAAAAUCUGAUGUUUCGGUGAAAGGUUACAAGCUCUUACAUGAUAAUCAGGAUAAAGAGGCACCCCACGGUGAAGCAGUGGCUCUGCUGACUGUGGUCAGUGAGGAUGAGGUGCCAGCUGGGAUAAAUUUUGAAACACACCAUGUGUCCAUCGUCCUCAAGGGUCAGGUUGUAAUGUCUCUGAGAUCUUGGCCUGAUGCGUUUCGGAAAAAUGCAAAUUUGUUUGGACUGAUUUAUGCUCUCCAUUGAACUACUCUGAGAAGCUGAAUGGGUUUUUUGAGUUUAUCCAGGUUGUCCUCUUAAACCUUGAUGAUGGUAGAAAGUUGCAGGCCUUAAAAAAAUGAGCUAACUUGGUAAAAGCUGUACCUGUAUGUUGAACCAAGCGCCUCACAAGUCCAUUGAGUAGCUGUUGUUUAGAAUAUUAUGCUUUUCCAGAUUGUUUAUUGCAUUUUCAAUUUCCAAUUUGAAAAAAGAUAUUUCAGUACAUUUCUACAUUUUCAAACUUCCACCAGUCAGUCUCAUUUUGACAACAAUCUAAGUUAUAUGUUUGAGUUUCAAGUUUUGACAGUUAUUCUCGAAAAUAAUAUGGUCUUGUAAUUUCAGUUUCAGAAGUCUACACAAGGAUUGAAAUUUCUGGAAAUGUCUUUAGUAAUAUAGAAUUACUUGGUUUGGUAGUUUUGUGUGGAUCGGCUUGCUUUUCAGGGUGAGAAAUCAAGCAGUUUGUUUCUGCUUGAUUUCACAUUUUAAGUGUGUUGCUGCCUCCCUUAAUGCUUAAAGUCUUGUAGACUUAAACAGUCUAUUGAACAGUCUAUCUUCAAUAAAGAAUGCUUGUAUU
This is a non-coding RNA of Doryrhamphus excisus (bluestripe pipefish), 13828 nucleotides long. The record is from RefSeq and is a predicted model, not a curated record. NCBI's taxonomy places the organism in Eukaryota, Metazoa, Chordata, Actinopteri, Syngnathiformes, Syngnathidae.